Molecule: ribosomal RNA, 234 nt
Filed under: uncultured bacterium
Lineage: Bacteria
Description: partial 16S ribosomal RNA
Rfam family: Bacterial small subunit ribosomal RNA
Source: RNAcentral
UGGCGGACGGGUGAGUAAUGUCUGGGAAACUGCCCGAUGGAGGGGGAUAACUACUGGAAACGGUAGCUAAUACCGCAUAACGUCGCAAGACCAAAGAGGGGACCUUCGGGCCUCUUGCCAUCGGAUGUGCCCAGAUGGGAUUAGCUAGUAGGUGGGGUAACGGCUCACCUAGGCGACGAUCCCUAGCUGGUCUGAGAGGAUGACCAACCACACUGGAACUGAGACACGGUCCAG